GGUCCAUGGUGUAAUGGUUAGCACUUUGGACUCUGAAUCCAACAAUCCGAGUUCGAGUCUCGGUGGGACCU
This 71-nucleotide transfer RNA is filed under the name Penaeus chinensis. RNAcentral describes it as "tRNA-Gln". It matches the Rfam family "tRNA". Rfam says of the family: Transfer RNA (tRNA) molecules are approximately 80 nucleotides in length. Lineage: Eukaryota; Metazoa; Arthropoda; Malacostraca; Decapoda; Penaeidae. The record is from RNAcentral.